RNAcentral lists this ribosomal RNA (460 nucleotides) under uncultured bacterium. Its description in RNAcentral is "partial 16S ribosomal RNA". It matches the Rfam family "Bacterial small subunit ribosomal RNA", at positions 338 to 795 of the family's 1533-position model. The record is from RNAcentral.
CCUACGGGUGGCAGCAGUGAGGAAUAUUGGUCAAUGGGCGAGAGCCUGAACCAGCCAAGUCGCGUGAAGGAUGACUGCCCUACGGGUUGUAAACUUCUUUUAUAAAGGAAUAAAGUGAGGCAUGUGUGCCCUUUUGUAUGUAUUUUAUGAAUAAGGAUCGGCUAACUCCGUGCCAGCAGCCGCGGUAAUACGGAGGAUCCGAGCGUUAUCCGGAUUUAUUGGGGUUAAAGGGAGCGUAGAUGGGUUGUUAAGUCAGUUGUGAAAGUUUGCGGCUCAACCGUAAAAUUGCAAUUGAUACUGGCAGCCUUGAGUACAGUUGAGGUAGGCGGAAUUCGUGGUGUAGCGGUGAAAUGCUUAGAUAUCACGAAGAACACAGAUUGCGAAGGCAGCCUACUAAACUGCAACUGACGUUGAUGCUCGAAAGUGUGGGUAUCAAACAGGAUUAGAUACCCGGGUAGUC